UACACGACCGUACCGCAAACCGACACUGGUGCGCGAGAUGAGUAUUCUAAGGCGCUUGAGAGAACUCGGGAGAAGGAACUCGGCAAAUUGACACCGUAACUUCGGAAGAAGGUGUGCCUUUAGUAGGUGAAGGGAUUUACUCCUGGAGCCCAAUGAGGUUGCAAAAAAUCGGUGGCUGCGACUGUUUAUUAAAAACACAGCACUCUGCAUACACGAAAGUGGACGUAUAGGGUGUGACGCCUGCCCGGUGCUGGAAGAUUAAAUGAUGGGGUGCAAGCUCUUGAUUGAAGUCCCAGUAAACGGCGGCCGUAACUAUAACGGUCCUAAGGUAGCGAAAUUCCUUGUCGGGUAAGUUCCGACCUGCACGAAUGGCGUAACGAUGGCCACACUGUCUCCUCCCGAGACUCAGCGAAGUUGAAAUGUUUGUGAUGAUGCAAUCUCCCCGCGGAAAGACGGAAAGACCCCAUGAACCUUUACUGUAGCUUUGUAUUGGACUUUGAACAGAUCUGUGUAGGAUAGGUGGGAGGCUUUGAAGCAGGGUCGCUAGAUCUUGUGGAGCCAACGUUGAAAUACCACCCUGGUGUGUUUGAGGUUCUAACCUAGGUCCAUUAUCUGGAUCGGGGACAGUGCAUGGUAGGCAGUUUGACUGGGGCGGUCUCCUCCCAAAGCGUAACGGAGGAGUUCGAAGGUACGCUAGGUACGGUCGGACAUCGUGCUAAUAGUGCAAUGGCAUAAGCGUGCUUAACUGCGAGACUGACAAGUCGAGCAGAUGCGAAAGCAGGACAUAGUGAUCCGGUGGUUCUGUAUGGAAGGGCCAUCGCUCAACGGAUAAAAGGUACUCUGGGGAUAACAGGCUGAUACCGCCCAAGAGUUCAUAUCGACGGCGGUGUUUGGCACCUCGACGUCGGCUCAUCUCAUCCUGGGGCUGUAGCCGGUCCCAAGGGUAUGGCUGUUCGCCAUUUAAAGAGGUACGUGAGCUGGGUUUAAAACGUCGUGAGACAGUUUGGUCCCUAUCUUCCGUGGGCGCUGCAGAUUUGAGGAAGCCUGCUCCUAGUACGAGAGGACCGGAGUGGACGCACCUCUGGUGUAUCGGUUGUCACGCCAGUGGCAUUGCCGAGUAGCUAUGUGCGGAAGAGAUAACCGCUGAAAGCAUCUAAGCGGGAAACUCGUUUCAAGAUGAGAUCUGCCGGGGCCUUGAGCCCCCUAAAGAGUCGUUCAAGACCAGGACGUUGAUAGGUCAGGUGUGGAAGCGCAGUAAUGCGUUAAGCUAACUGAUACUAAUUGCUCGUGCGGCUUGACCCG
Molecule: ribosomal RNA, 1302 nt
Filed under: metagenome
Description: bacterial LSU rRNA
Rfam family: Bacterial large subunit ribosomal RNA
Source: RNAcentral